CCUCUGCUUCCUUCUCCUGGUGCCAGACAGGCAGACUUUGCAAUGCCACUGUGUGUGACUACCUUGAGCAGCAGUUUGAGGGACUUUGCAGGGAAAAUGCAAUGCAGUGAGGCGUAGAGGAUUGACUGCAGCAAGACGACCCUCAGUGGAAUAGCACAGAUGGGUGUGGUGCUCCUCCUUUGGUGGUCCACCUUCCCUGUGGCCGACAUGUUUGCUGUAUGGACAGUGGAGAGGACACAGAUGUCUCGCUUUUCAUGCCACUUUACUGUCAGCUGUUGGCUGUUCUAUUUGAACCUUCCCUCUCUGCAUCUUCCUGCCUCCGAAUGCUAACAUCCCCUUCCUGUUCAACCUGACUGUGACACAAGCCCUGUGUUGUUGGAGAGGAGAUGCUGGAAGAGUGUGGGACUGCUGUACCAAUUGUCCACAUACAAAGUGUGUCCCUUGCCGAGAUGAGGAGCCAGCAUGGUCAUCACCAAGGACCCAAACACCCCAAGCGCCUCAUAAUGUUGGAUGUCAGUGGUGGACCCUGUGUAAACUAUAAUGUCCUGGAGAAUUCCUGUCUUUAUGUAACACAUGAAAAACAACUUGACCCCAAACCUGUGCCUUUUGGAUGGAAUACAUUGACAGAGCGCUAGCUUUCCAUAUCAUCAGGGAUUCAUCAAUGCAUAGGUCCUUGUAUGGCACAAAGACCCAACCAAAUGCUGAUGUCAGGCUGCGAGUUUCCCCCCACUCUUGGCUCUCUCUUCUCCUGCGCUAAGGCAUAGUGAUUGGUCUCCUCUACUAUGUCACCCACCAGCUCCUCAGAAAUAGCUUGAAGCACUCUGCCUCAGAUGGAAUUGGUGAGGGGCUUUGCGCUCAAGACUGGGAUUCAUCAAAGCAAACAGCAGGGCCAGGAGGGGUGAAAUGGCUGGCGGCCUUCCAGCUACCACAGAACUCCUGUACUUCAUCCACUGUGAGUCUGACUCUAUCACCACCAGCAUCUUCAAAGGGACCAAGGGGUCCUCAGAUUCAGGGUUCUCAAUGUCUACAAGGUUGUGGGGGCAGCUCCUCACUGUCACUGUCAGAAUCCGAUUCCUGACUUUCAUACUUUCAUACAGACUCAUUGUCAGGGUUGAUAAAAAUCUCCAUAAUUUCCGCAUUUGAAAGUAAUUGCUAAUGCUACAGCUUAGCUCACUAGCUACAUACAUAAAUAACAACACUGAAUGGCUCAGAGUGAGGUUACGUGAUUGACUGCUGGCACGCGCCACUUGUAUCAAUAAAU
Molecule: long non-coding RNA, 1261 nt
Organism: Oncorhynchus tshawytscha (Chinook salmon)
Lineage: Eukaryota; Metazoa; Chordata; Actinopteri; Salmoniformes; Salmonidae
Source: Ensembl